GCUCCUUCUCUCCGGCAACGGCACGUACUCACGACCACCGCCCUCUCAGGGGCUGGCUACAGGCCGGCCAAGAAGCCAUUUCCACUGACAGCGGGGCUGGCGGGAGCCCUCUCGCCUUUCUGGGCAGGGACAGCAACGCUCAACCUGACAGAGGAGACAGUGGUCAACGGACAUUUCUGAAAUUAAAGACAGCCAGUGUUGCAGUGACGAGGAGCCACCCCGCCAGCCCAGCUGAGGCAUCUGCGAGGGGCAGACACGCAGAGAGAGGUACCUCUCCAGCAAGAAGGACUGUUCAAAGGAGAGACACUUCAAAACUCCUUAUUGUGAGCUCCACUAGCCCCUGCAAAGUUCCACUUCCAUUUUAUAUCAAGGCUUCUUUUUUGUUU
This is a long non-coding RNA of Suricata suricatta (meerkat), 386 nucleotides long. RefSeq lists it as uncharacterized. The record is from RefSeq and is a predicted model, not a curated record. The transcript is spliced from 2 exons. Lineage: Eukaryota; Metazoa; Chordata; Mammalia; Carnivora; Herpestidae.